UUCACAGAGCAUUCAGAAAAAGAAGUUGAUGUUAAAAAGGAACACGCUAUGGAUGAAGAAUCUGAAGUGCCAAACUGAAUUGCAUCUGUAACAACGUUACAGAAUAUCAAUCUUAUUUCCUCUGGCUCCAAAGAUGGUUUUAUUCAACUUUGGAGACAAGAUGAUGAGAAUAUUUGUUUUGUUGCACAUCAUCUUGGAAAUACUUAGUUGCUGGAAAUGGCAAAGAACAUUCAUACAAAAUAUUGAAUAAAAUAAAUAAAUUCAAUUAUAUAUUCUAUCAUCAAUUAGGUAAGGGAUAUAU
Molecule: long non-coding RNA, 301 nt
Organism: Argiope bruennichi
Lineage: Eukaryota; Metazoa; Arthropoda; Arachnida; Araneae; Araneidae
Exons: 3
Source: RefSeq, a predicted model, not a curated record